GGCUUUGCACAGUGGCAGUAUUAUAGCCAUUGGUUUAUCUGAGGUGUGAUUAUUGCCAAUUUAAAAAAUUGGCAGCCAUUUUUUGGAAGGCAUUGGAAGGC
RNAcentral lists this small nuclear RNA (101 nucleotides) under Panthera tigris altaica (Amur tiger). RNAcentral describes it as "U4 spliceosomal RNA (ENSPTIG00000001111.1)". The record is from RNAcentral. Lineage: Eukaryota; Metazoa; Chordata; Mammalia; Carnivora; Felidae.